CUAGAGAAAGAGGACUCUCCCCCUCCUUAAUGGC
This 34-nucleotide transfer RNA is filed under the name Acrocephalus vaughani. RNAcentral describes it as "partial tRNA-Lys". The record is from RNAcentral. Lineage: Eukaryota; Metazoa; Chordata; Aves; Passeriformes; Sylviidae.